Molecule: long non-coding RNA, 1104 nt
Filed under: Vigna radiata
Lineage: Eukaryota; Viridiplantae; Streptophyta; Magnoliopsida; Fabales; Fabaceae
Description: long non-coding RNA (VRAD_LNC006386)
Source: RNAcentral
GAGGAACUUUAUAGUGGCAUGGUUUUAGUUGAUGAAUAUGAAUAUGAUAUGAGUCUCGUGGAGAGAUUUUGUAGUGGUAUGGUAUUAGUGUACACAUUGAUGUUGAGAGUCUCGUUGGGAAGGUUAUCUUGAUACUUUAAUAACUAUCCAGUCUCAAGUAGAGAAGGAUGAGUUAUGUGGUGAGAGGGGCAGGAGGUCCUAAUUUAUGUGCCGAUUUUUGACAUAGGUGUUAACGGACUAACCUUGUGGUGACAGAUUGGGUUGUAUUUGACUAGGAUUUUUGUUGCAUAGGGAGUGUAAGUCACCACAAGUGUAAGACCAUCCGAGACUUCCAUCAAUGUUCUAUCCGGAUAAUAAAGUCUAGUAUAAUCAUUGGUGUCUGAUAUGAAUUUUUAUUGAAAAUGAAGUAUGUGUAAUAAUUAUGUUAUACCUUAUUUUAAUAUUCUCUCUCAUGGUAGCUUACCCUUACUUUUUGUGUGUGUGCCGAAAAAUUAUAUUUUUGCGAUGAUCGUAUAAUGUAUAUGUUAUACGGGAGCAGAUGAGGGAAUGUUGUCUAAUCCAGUACAAGUGAAGAUAGAGGCAGAAGAAUAGUAGAGAAGAGUUUGAGUUAUCUUUAUGGGAGGGAAGUUGAAAUCUAAGUUUAAAAUGUGUAAUUAGUGUGAAAAUCUUUAUACUUCCUGGUGGAAGAUUAUGUAAGUGUUACAGUUCUCAUAUUAUUUAUAAAAAAAAAAUUAGUUUGAGAAUUUUGGGAUGUUACACCACCUAACCUAACCCUAACUGUCGCUGCCACACUCACGAUCAACCACCAUCUUCUCACCUCUAUCAUCAGACAUUUCAAAACCACCACCACCGUUGUUCAUCUUCUCCGUCCAACAACCACCCAAAAACACCAUCGUGACCAUCUUCCCCUUCCUCCACCAUGAAUCACCAUCAACAUCUUGUCGCGACAACCAUAACCGCCGCAAUGAGACAGUGAGCCAUGCACGAGCUUAUCUUCUCCGUCAAGUCUUCAACCUGCAAAGGGAAAUACAGAGAAUGAAAAAGCCAAUUGGAGCAUAAUCACCGCAGCGAAAACGUCAUUCUCCAUCAAUCUUCAUCUUCUCC